CUCAGAGAUCUGCCUGCCUCUGUCUCCUGAGUGCUGGGAUUAAAGGCAUGUGCCACCACUGCCCAGCAUGGAAAUGUUUUUUGAGCUGUUGUUUUAAAUGAAAGCACAAUGCCUAUGAGGCGAUUCCGUGGGUGAAGGCUCUCACUGCCAAGCCUGACAUACUGAGUUCAAACCUGGGAUGUAGGAGAUAACCGACCCCUGGAAGGUGUUCUCUGACUUUCACGUGCAUGCCAGACACCCAGCCGGCACUCACACCUAUCACUUGUGCCCAGCCAAAUAAAUGGACGUAACACAUUUUAAUGUAAAUGUAAAUUAUGUGUAAUGUAACGAGCAAUAACCAACAUUUCCUAUCUCCAUCUGGAUGAGGAGAUCCGAGGUGGUCUGCUGUCUCCUGGGCUAGAACUCACCACGGAAAGCUAGAGUCAGGUUCUGUCCUUGGGUUCAUCAAGCAACCAUCAGAGGUGAACUCUGAAGGACGGACAAUCCAUCCGUGUAAAUGUUAUCCUCAGCUCUGAAGUCACAGCUAUGGAAGGAAGUGAGCUCUGUGGAUGUCUUGGGGUGGAUUUCCCCAGCAUCAGAGGUAUUCAGGCCUGAGUCAUUCCUCCCCUCUGGGCUUUCCCGACACUGCGGUAAGAACUCAGGACCAUCAUCCCACAGGUGCGACCACCCACAAGUGAACUAAACCCUCCUAUCUAAACAACAAUCAUCAAUCAAAAAAACCAACCAACCAACAACAACCAAAACAACCGGUACGACAGCCCUGCCCACAGGCCAAUAUGGUUGGAGGCAUUUUCUCAAUUGAGGUUCCCUCUUCCCAAAUGACUUUAGCCUGUGUCAACAUAAAACUAGCCUGCGCAGACUGCAAUAGCCUUCCUGAAUCAGGGACUGGGACUGCAGUGUGGGACUUGACUGUCCUCUGAUUCCCUCAUAUCUUAUUGACUGGGACUCUGUCUGGAUACUUGUGUCCAGUUCAUUCUGGAUUUUCCUCUAUGUUAGCCAAUAAACUAACUCCUGGUUGGCUUCCUGGCA
Mus musculus (house mouse) is the source of this 1029-nucleotide long non-coding RNA. RefSeq annotates it as predicted gene, 53901. NCBI's taxonomy places the organism in Eukaryota, Metazoa, Chordata, Mammalia, Rodentia, Muridae. The transcript has 2 exons. The record is from RefSeq and is a predicted model, not a curated record.